UCGUUUAAAAUUCCCAACAAAGUCCGUA
Molecule: small RNA, 28 nt
Filed under: Bombyx mori (domestic silkworm)
Lineage: Eukaryota; Metazoa; Arthropoda; Insecta; Lepidoptera; Bombycidae
Description: ovarian small RNA-7672
Source: RNAcentral